CAAUAUCGGCAUCUCAGUGGAUCCUUCUUUGCCUCUGACCUCGAUACAGCUGAGGUUAGCAGACGGUACUCGCAUGGUGGGACGUUUCAAUAUGCACCAGACAGUGGGAGAUAUUCGGGCGUUCAUUGAUGCAUCAAGGCCUGGUACUGCAAGAACCUACCAGUUGCAGACUGUGGGUUUCCCUCCUAAGCAGCUCGCUGAUUUGUCUCAGACGAUCGAGCAACUAGGCCUCGCAAAUUCGGUUGUAAUUCAAAAGCUGUAGUUAAGGCUGCAAAGAGUACUGGAUCUUGG
RNAcentral lists this unclassified non-coding RNA (291 nucleotides) under Hevea brasiliensis (rubber tree). The record is from RNAcentral. Lineage: Eukaryota; Viridiplantae; Streptophyta; Magnoliopsida; Malpighiales; Euphorbiaceae.